Molecule: long non-coding RNA, 719 nt
Organism: Mesocricetus auratus (golden hamster)
Lineage: Eukaryota; Metazoa; Chordata; Mammalia; Rodentia; Cricetidae
Exons: 6
Source: RefSeq, a predicted model, not a curated record
AGAGGAGUUCAAGAUGUAACCGCAUGGGUAGGAAGCCCGGAACUAUUCUCCGAUUGACAAGCAUUCUCUAGUGAUUUGGUUUGUGAUAAGCCUUGUAACACUCUGAGAAGUAUUCAUCUAGUAAUUUAGUUUUCUAUGCUUGAAAGACCCAUCAUUUCCACUGCAGAACCUGGAGGACAGAGGAGGAAUAACUAGAACCUUCUGUGAGGAUGCAGUGAAGUUAUUUUCUUUGGGAUUAAGAAUGAGAUGUAGCAAAACAACAUCAGCAAACCCUUUGGAAAGAAUAUGCUCAUAUAUAGGACAUAAAUGAAACAUGCCUGUGGGGGUGGCUGACUGCAGAGCACUGCUAUGCAUGCUUGAGGCCCUGGCUCUAACUCCAGCAAAGCAACAAGAAACGCAAACCAAUGCACACCUGAGCAUAGAAGGGAGGCUAUCCUACAUCUGUGGCGGAAGAUGGGAGGAAGAGGGAGGCAGCCGAAUGAAAGAGACUCCUCCCCAGGAAGGCCGAGGCCAGGACUCUUCUAGACAUGCCCAAGCACAUUGCCUCGUUUUGUUGUCCAAGGACCAAAACAACAUCACAGACAAACUUAAAGUUUCUGCAGACAAGUAUACCAAUGGAAUCGAAUUGAACACCCUAAUAUUAACCUAUACAUGUAUGAACAUCUGAUUUUUGACCAAGAAGCUAAAAAUAUACAAUGGAAAAGAGAAAGCAUCCUCAA